This 71-nucleotide transfer RNA is filed under the name Phrynosoma platyrhinos (Desert horned lizard). RNAcentral's name for it is "tRNA-OTHER". Lineage: Eukaryota; Metazoa; Chordata; Lepidosauria; Squamata; Phrynosomatidae. The record is from RNAcentral.
GCCAGCAUGGCAUAGUGGUUUGAGUGCUGGACUGCGACUCUGAAGACAGGGUUCGAUUCCCAACUCAGUCA